UGCCUGAACUUUAUUUUACAGAUUCCAUUAGUUUCAAGCAUCGAAUGAUUAACAGAUCAUAAAUAUCUCCAUUUGGCACCACGGAAUGGCGAACUCCAGCAAAGUAUCGGACGAUCGAAAUUUACAGCAAUGGAUAUUUUUUUUCGGUGGGACUUUCGACUGUCGACAAUGGUUUCACGAAAGAUGGGAUACAGGUCUGUAUGAGUAACGAAAUUAAAUGCGAGGCAGAACUGAUUCUUGCGCAAUACCUUAACUUUAUUGAUUAUUGGAAAGGAAAGUAUUCUGCACUAACAUGCAAAUAUACAAGUACAUGUAAGUUCGACUUCGUUAAUAUUGAGUUACAAUGAAGGUUUCUCAGCUAAUUUGCAUUAUUGAAUUCUAAUUCUUAACAUUGCGGUUAUAUUUCUUUUUCCGCUAUUUUUUCUUCCAUUUGAAUCCUAUAAUCUUACGAAGUGUAAAGAAACCGAAGUAUUUAGAGUAGUAUGAUAAAAUAUUUGUUAAAUUAUGGACAUUUUUUUGGAACUAGUAUUUUCUUUUUUAAAUAAUAUUGCAUUUACACAAUUUCUAUGCAUUUCUUUGCUACUCGAUCCAUAGGUUGAUAUCUCAAUCUUAAUCUGAUUUCCAACUUGUCUUAAUAAAUAUGUAUUCGUAAAUAUUAAAAAUGAUAAAUACUAUUUUAUAAAAAUAGCAAAUAUUACAAACAGAAGUUCUUAGAAAUUAUUUUCAUAGAAAAACAUUUCGCUAAUAAAAUUUCUAUCUGUUUCUUGUAAUAGGUGAAUAUAAUACUCGACUGUUUUACAUUGUCGUCAUAAAUAUCGAAGCUGUCGUGUAGUAAAGGACAAAGAAUUAGAACGAUAUUUGAAUCCCUGGGAUUGGCAUUGAAUACUCGUCGACAAGGAGUUCUACGAUUGUUUGCUGCGCAGGUAGCAUUUCUUGCAACGCCGUCUUUCCUUUUCCGAUAGCUCUACAUGCGCAUACAGCCGCAUUAAAUUGUAGGCGGCGUAGAAGUGCUGAUAAGGCUGAUAUCGCACACAUAAGGCGUCCAUAAAUGGUGUGUAAAAGUAUGAAUGGAACAUUCUUCUUCACCCGAUAAAGCGACGAGAAAAUAACCCUAUGCUUUUUUAUGGCUUCCUCCGAACUGCGUAUUCCUAUAUUUCAGAGUUCUAUAAGCACAAAAUACGGAAUGAUGAAUUAAACGUUUCGUAGAAUGUCCCAUUCAAGGAAUAAGUAGAUCUUCAUCAAUAACUCCAUCUGAAAUACCUAGAUAACAUAAUAAAAGGUAUUUUAUUGCAAAAUGAUAAUGAUAGUGAGGAUUUCUAUAAAAUCACCAGCAACGACCGUGUUAAGAUUUUACUUAAGAAUCGAAGAACAACUUUAUUAAUUACAUUUAAUAUAAAUCCAGUAGGAAUACGAAAGUGAAACAUUUUCUCGUAUUGCUAAUCCGUUAUCGGCAUGAAAUAAAGAAUCGUUAUAGGUACUCGCGGAUCGUUGUAAAAGUGGUUACAAAAUUAUUCGAGCAUGGAACUUCGAAUCAGUCCUUCAGGCUGUGUAGAGGAAACGACACGAAUUCUAAUGAUGGCACUCGCUUGUUUCGUAGGUCUACUGUUCACUGAUUCAGAGUGUCAGAUAAGCUUUCGAGGCUUGAAAGUUUCGCUGCCCGCUCGUUGCGUCGCACAUAACGAAACGCGACAGAGUUAAUUAUUGUUUCAGUUACUGCGAGGACGCUUGACACUCGAGAUUGUCCGAUCGUACUUCUAAAAAUGCAGGACGCGCUUAUGGUUAAUGCAUGUUAACGUGUGCCGUUCAGUUGAAUAGAUACAACGAAGCAAAUGUAACGAGAGCGUGUUGUAAUCGACUUGUUAAGAUCUCGGAAAAAUAGGAAAACUUUGAACGAAUGUGCUCUGUUGAAUAAAACAAACGCAGUUCUAGAAACAUGUCUGUCGCAACGAUUUGCAUAACGUAGCAAUUGCUAUUUCAUGACAAACGUAUUUUCAUUUUACAGUUAACUGUAUUAAUUUCUUGCCGAUGUAAAUCAGCGAUAUCGAUGUGAUACAAGUUAUAUUAAAAUCCAAUACUUAUCGUAUUUGUGAUGAAACUGCACUUCGAUUAUGCAUGUUUUAGUUUACAUUUUAUGGAAUGUAUAGUAUUUCUCUCUGACUUUUCUCUGUCAUUGUCUCUGCCAUAUAACAAAUUACAAAUAAAAUAAAUAAUAAAUCUGAAUAGAUAAGUAAAAUCAUUUUUUACAAGAAGAUCUUUAGGAAUACAUUUCAUAAAUAUGAGAUUGUUUAAUUAGUUUAGUUGAAACAAAGCACAAAGUUAUAUUUACACAUUGUACAACGUUAGAAAUCCUUUAAAUAUCAGGCUAUGUUUCAUUAAAAUUCUAUGAUAUUAAAUCUGUAUAACUUUUUGUUUAAUAACGGCUGUGUUAGAAAAAAUUAAUUUAUACUUGUAAAAAUUAAUUUACACAUUUUUUAGAGAUAGUUUCUAGUUAACAUCGCAUGAU
Bombus huntii is the source of this 2503-nucleotide long non-coding RNA. RefSeq lists it as uncharacterized. The transcript has 3 exons. The record is from RefSeq and is a predicted model, not a curated record. NCBI's taxonomy places the organism in Eukaryota, Metazoa, Arthropoda, Insecta, Hymenoptera, Apidae.